AAUUUAAUCUGCUCAGUCUCUGAAGAGUCUAAAUCAUUGGCCUUUGGGCAAAUCCUUCUUGAGUUUCCACAAUAUGCCAAGCACUGAACCAGGCCUAGAGUUUACGAUGAUGAAUAAGCCAGCAAGGACACUGACCACAUGGAGCUCCAUCUUCCAGUGGAAAGAAGCUUCUAAACAGGUAAUUGCAUCAUAACUGACUCUUUUAUUCACCUCCCAAAAUUUAGGUCUUCACCAGACUUCCAGAUUAAAGUCAACUUCUCAAAAUCCACUAUUUGUGCUCAUUAAGGACCCAUCACUCCCCACAUCGUUGCUGUGUAAGCCCUCAGCAUCAACUUUGACAAUUUCCUCCACCCCACAUCCCAAGAUCUACCUCAUCCUGCGCAUUUCUACCUCUGAAAUGUGCAUACCCACUCCCCCUUCUUUCCAGCCAUGUUGCCUCCACCCAAGUUGAAAUCCUUACUCCUUCUAUUGCCACUUCAUUUAGGGUUCAUUUGCAGAAACAGAAGCUACUCAAGCUAGUUUGAGCACAACUCAGGUUUAGGUGGCUAACAAAUUGUUGAAAAGGCUGGAAAAGACAUUUGAAACAGAGCUUCCAGGAACAACAUCCAACUCUUGGAAUCCUAUUACCUCUGUCAAAAAUUGGAAAGCAAUUCCUGUCGCUACAGAAGUCCUCGAAUCAGGAAGCAAGUGACCCUGGCACGUGUUGCCUCUGUAUCAUCCAUGUCAGCAAAAUGGAUCCUUGUCCAGAAGUCCAGCUACAAAGAAGUGUGUGAAUUAUAGGUCCCAGCUUUCCAGUCUUAGUGGUACAGGUUAGAAUGUAUGUUGAGAUGCUAGUCCUCGAUGUCUCCUUCACCUCCUAGCUGGGCUCCCAGCUUCCCUGCUCUUCCCCACAGUUCCAUUCUCUUUAUUGCUUCCAGCUCCACAGCUCAAAAGCUUCUGAUGACUCAUUCUCUCCGCUGAAUUAGGUUAAAAAGCCCUUGCCUGUCAUUCCAGGCCCUCUGUGAUCAGGUCCCAACUUGUUUUCCUGGUUUAUGUCCCAUUCUACUCCUACAAUUUCUUCUACAUAUUCUGCUCUUUCCCAUCUCGUGCUUUUGUGCAUCCUCUACCUUUCCCACCAUCACUUCCCAUUAAAAUACACAACAGCCUUCUAGGCCCAGACCAAAUGUCACUUCCUUUCUAUAUUCUCCUCUGAUCCUCUUAACCAAAGUGACCUCUCACUACAGCUCCAGAGAGCUCCUCCUACCACUUUAUUUAGACAUUGCAUCUGGAGACAGAGAUGUGGGUUGGAACCCUAGCUUCGCCUGGGCAAGUGAGGUCAUCCUGGACUCAAUGCCUCAGUUUCCUGCCCUAUAAAAUGGGUUAAUAAUACUUCAUAGGUUUGUUGGAAGGACCAGUUGAGAUAAGGACCUAAGCUGCUAGUGUACACGCUGGACAGAUGGCAACUACUGUAGAGUGUUGUCUUGUUUAUCUCUGUACCGCUCCCCCAGGUGCUCAAUAAUACUUGUGUAAUGAAUGGACAGGCCAAACCAAGCAGCAGUAUUGACCUUAGGCAACCUAAGGUCAAACCAAGGUGAUACUUGGUCCCUCCCUGGUUGAUAUCAGGGCUCUGGGUGGGGUCGGUUUAGGACACAGGUAUGAGCAGACGAAGAGUUUCCAUUUGUUUUAUCAAGUCAGGAGAAGUAAAGCUAAGAGUUUUGACAGUUGGGCUAGGGCACAGCCCCCCGGUGUAGGUCACAGCGAUUACCAGUGCCUCAUGAGUCAACAACAGUUUGGGAAAGAUCCCUCCAAAAGCGUUUGUUUGGAGGGCUCUUAUCUCUGUGCCUAGAGAAGGAGCCGUCUAAACUCAGAAACGUAGAGGGAGGCAGGAAGUCUCAGAUCAGGUACAUUCCCAUCUGAACCCCAGUGGGAAAUAGUCCUGCAAUCUCAGAUGCUGCUGGAGGAGUGAAAAUUGAAACAGUCCACUUUGCAAACCCAUUUGGCAGUGUUUGUUACAUAUGAAGCUGCACAUACCCUAUGGCCCAGCAGUUCCACUUCUAGGUCCCCACCCUAGGAAGACGCCCUCAGGAGACUCGCUCAAGGAGAUGCAUUGCUGCACCGUUUGUCAGAUCAGGAAAUCAAAAACAACCUGAGCAUCCAUCAAUGAGGAAUAAAUAAAAUGUGGUGCAUUUAACUGUUAAAAUACAAAAUGGUAAAUGUAAAAGCAUGAACUAGAUUUUUGUAUAUCAGUGUGGUUUUAAAAAUAUAAUUGUGAGUGAAGAAAACAAGUUGCAGAAUGAUGCAUUCAGAAUGAUACCAUUUAAAGAUAUACCACCAAUAAUGUAUAUUGUUCUGGGCUACAUUUAUGUACAAGCUUUAAACAAUGGGCUCAGGGGACACGUGUUAAAUUAGUCAUUGUAGUUACUUCUGGAAAGAAGAAUUAGACCAGGAGCCAAGAGGACUUAAAAUUUUAUCUGUAAAGUUUUUUCUCUUUUAACUAAAACAAAAACAAAAUUUAAAGCCUGAAAGGACAAAUAUUAACAACUGAAUUUAGGAUGAUGGUUGGGACAUAAGAACACUAUUCUAUAUUGAAAAGAUUCUUUUUUCUCAGAAAACAAAAAUAUGGCCAUGAGUCUGGUUUGGUACCUGUACAUGUACGUGUGUUGUGUUGUGUUGUGUUGGGUGGGGAGGCUUUGGUGAACAGCCGUGACCACGGUUGUCCAGGAAUAUUUACUUGCAGGCAACAGAAAUUAAUCACUGCCCUGGCAUUUAAAUUUGAACAACUUGUUGAGGUUCUUAAACACCUACAGGCCCCUUUGACCCUCUGAUGAAAGCUAAGUCCUCUUGAGUCCCAGGAGAAGAAAUGCUCAUACACACGAUUUGGCAUGUCAUUUCAGGGGCUUCGUAGCCCUCAGGUUAAGAGUCGGUACUACUGGAGGCUGUCCAGAGGUCGGCUUUUUUUGACCUCCAGAACAGCUGUUAGAAAUGCACAGUGAAGAGACCAGGAAGACUUGUUAAAAUAAUAUAUAAACACAACGCUCUCUUUGCACAAAGACAAUCUGGAGUGAGUGUGUGUAUAUGUGUGUGUGUGUGUGUGUGUAAAAGCUGCUGAAACCCUAAAAAAGUAAACACAGCUUUUUGGAGCUCUCAGUUUGCAUCCUGAAGUGUAAUGUCAAUAAGUCGGAUCACUCUGGGAAACUUGACACUUAAGAAGCCCAGCUUCUGCCAGUGUAAACGCCAGGGUCCCAGUCCUCAGAUUCAGCUUCCCUCAGCCUGGAGCAGGGAAUUGAGAGAAACUUGUCUGGUCUUGCAGAAGGACUGUGGAGUCUGUUCUUGGAAGCACUGCACGGGGUCUGGCUUGCUGCACAGCCAGCCUCUGUCUCCCCUUGCUAGAAGGCCUCAGGGUUUCGCCAACAUCCCUGAUGGGACAGAGCCUUCUUUGGAGGGGCCCAUGCAGCCCCUUUUUGUCCCCUGACCUCAGGCUGGGACUCAGAUGGCUUUUUAAACUAAACACUUUUUUUAAAGACUGGCACCUGAGCUAACAUCUGUUGCCAACCUCUUGUUUUCUUUUUUCCUUCUUCUCCCCAAGGUCCCCCAGCACAUAGAUGUAUAUUCUAGUUGUAGAUCCUUCUAGUUGUGGCAUGUGGGCCGCCACCUCAGCAUGGCCUGAUGAGCGGUGCCCUGUCUGCGCCCAGGAUCUGAACUGGUGAAACCCUGGGCUGCCAAAGCGGAGCACACGAACCUAACCACUCGGCCACGGGGCCAGCCCUUAAACUAAACAUUUUUUUAAACAAUCUAUUUGGUAUUUGGAGUUUUUGAAUUUGACUUCUAGCAAAGGAAGAAAAACAGAGGAAUGUCAUUAAAAAAUAAUUCUGAAAAUUUUUAGGUCUGCUGCGUUUUUUCCAGGUGACACAAAG
This 3893-nucleotide long non-coding RNA is filed under the name Equus caballus (horse). Its description in RNAcentral is "lncRNA (ENSECAG00000044559.1)". Lineage: Eukaryota; Metazoa; Chordata; Mammalia; Perissodactyla; Equidae. The record is from RNAcentral.